GCGGCGGCCGCCAUUGGCCCCGUGCUGCCGGCGGGCGGGCGGGGCGGGCGGUUCAAACGGCAACGGCCGCGCCGGGCGCUGUGGCGGAGCGGUGCUGGGCAGAAGGGCAGGCGCCUGCUGGCCUCAGGAUGUCUGUCAGCAGCGAUGAGGAGAUUCUGAAGUACUACGAGUUGCGCGAAACGAUUGGGACGGGUGGGUUUGCAAAGGUAAAGCUUGGACGACAUCUUCUUACCGGUGAAAAAGUUGCAAUAAAAAUCAUGGACAAGCUUGCGCUAGGGGAUGACUUGCCUCGUGUUAAAACAGAAAUUGAUGCCAUGAAGAAUUUAAGUCACCAACAUAUUUGCCGGUUGUAUCACGUAAUAGAGACAUCCAAGAAAAUAUUCAUGGUCUUAGAGUAUUGUCCUGGAGGAGAGCUGUUUGAUUACAUUAUUUCCAAGGACCGUCUUUCAGAAGAAGAAGCUCGUGUAUUUUUUCGGCAGAUUGUUUCAGCAAUUGCUUAUGUUCACAGUAAGGGAUAUGCCCACAGGGACCUCAAACCAGAAAAUCUGCUGAUUGACGAGGAACAUAAUCUGAAGCUGAUAGACUUUGGGCUCUGUGCAAAGCCAAAGGGAGGCCUUGAUUACCAUCUGAACACCUGCUGUGGAAGCCCAGCGUAUGCAGCGCCAGAGCUGAUUCAGGGCAAAGCAUAUAUUGGAUCAGAGGCAGAUAUUUGGAGCAUGGGUGUACUGCUGUAUGCUCUGCUGUGUGGCUUUCUCCCUUUUGAUGAUGACAACGUCAUGGCAGUCUACAGGAGGAUAAUGAGAGGAAAAUAUACUAUUCCAAAGUGGCUCUCUCCUAGCAGUACGCUGCUGCUUAGCCAAAUGCUACAGGUGGACCCAAAGAAGCGGAUUACAGUUAAGCAUCUGUUAAGUCACCCGUGGCUCAUGGAAGGUUAUUGAGAUGCUGUCCACUGGCAAAGUAAAUAUCCACAGGGACACCUUGACGAGGACUGCGUGACAGAGCUUUCGGUGUUUCACAACCAGAGCAGGGAGAGAAUAUUGGAAUUAAUAUCAGAGUUACAGGAAAUACAGGAAAUAACCUGAAUAAUCUACUUACAGGAGGAAACAGCUUGUCCAGUUAAGUUUUGGCAUUUACACCGUCCUUUACUAGGGGACUUCUAUUGCCUUAUAACUUAUUCAGGCUACUGGUAUUAUGCUGCAAACCUGGCAAGCAUUUUUCUUGCAGUCCUCAUAGCAGUUGUGUUGCUGAAAAUCACACCAAAUGUUGAUUAAAAAAUUUUUUCUUGUUGUACUCCCAAUCAACUUGCUAGCAGGCAGCCUAGGAAGAGGAAAGAACUUCUCCAGUAUGGCCACUUACAAAUAUUAAGGACAUGGUGGCUUACAGUAGACUACAGAAAGUUGAAUGCAGCUACUAAACCAUUGACUGCCACAGCACCCAGUCUGUCUGACAUACCUAAUCUGCUUAAUACAGCAGGAUUUAAAUGAUGGCUGUCGUUGGUGUUAGAGAUAUCUUUUGGUCACAUUACCACGGCAGGAUCAAGACAAAUUUGCUUUGACAGACAUAUGCCAGCAGUACUCAUAUCUGUUAGCCACUCUCACAACUGUUUGCAAUUGCUGGCAGUUGUACUGAUUAUUGUGCUAAGAAGCUACCCAUGAAUGGCCAGGGGUAUAUUCUGAACACAGAGUCCCUGCUAAUAUCAAGAAAAUUCUCAAUUUCACCUUUCCAACCAAAUGGCAGAAGCAUAACACUAGUAGUUACUUGUGGAGUAACUCCCUGCAGGGCCUCAAGGACAGGUACCAGGGUGAGACACCCCAAAUGGGGGUGGACCCCCUGCCCUGUCGCCGUCGGGCAGAGGGAGGGGAU
This is a non-coding RNA of Anas platyrhynchos (mallard), 1863 nucleotides long. NCBI's taxonomy places the organism in Eukaryota, Metazoa, Chordata, Aves, Anseriformes, Anatidae. The record is from RefSeq and is a predicted model, not a curated record.